RNAcentral lists this ribosomal RNA (368 nucleotides) under uncultured bacterium. RNAcentral describes it as "bacterial SSU rRNA". It matches the Rfam family "Bacterial small subunit ribosomal RNA", at positions 28 to 396 of the family's 1533-position model. The record is from RNAcentral.
GACGAACGCUGGCGGCGUGCUUAACACAUGCAAGUCGAGCGGUAAGGCCCUUCCGGGGGUACGACGAGCGGCGAACGGGUGAGUAACACGUGGGUGACCUGCCCUCAGCUCUGGGAUAAGCCUGGGAAACCGGGUCUAAUACCGGAUAUGACUCCAUGACGCAUGUUGUGGGGUGGAAAGCCUUGUGCGGCUGAGGAUGGGCCCGCGGCCUAUCAGCUUGUUGGUGGGGUGAUGGCCUACCAAGGCGACGACGGGUAGCCGGCCUGAGAGGGCGACCGGCCACACUGGGACUGAGACACGGCCCAGACUCCUACGGGAGGCAGCAGUGGGGAAUCUUGCGCAAUGGGCGAAAGCCUGACGCAGCGACG